CUCAAGAGGGGUUCCUCAAAGGUUCCUCAAGAGGUUCUCAGAGGUUCCUCAAGGGGUUCUUCAAAGGGUUCUGAGGUUCCUCAAGGGGUUCCUCAAGGGGUUCCUCGAGGGGUUCUCAGAGGUUCCUCAAGGGGUUCUUGGAGGUGUUCCUCAAGAGGUUCCUCAAAAGGUUCCUCAAGGGGUUCUCAGAGGUUCCUCAAAGGGUUCUUGGAGGUUCCUCAAGGGGUUCCUCAAGAGGUUCCUCAAGGGGUUCCUCAAAAGGUUCCUGAAGGGGUUCCUCAAGGGGUUCUCGGAGGUUCUGAGGGGUUCCUCAAGGGGUUCCUCAAGGGGUUCCUCAAAAGGUUCUCAGAGGUUCCUCAAGGGGUUCUCGGAGGCUCUGAGGGUUUCCUCAAGAGGUUCCUCAAGGGGUUCCUCAAGGGGUUCUCAGAGGUUCCUCAAAGGGUUCUCAGAGGUUCUGAGGGGUUCCUCAAGAGGUUCCUCAAGGGGUUCCUCAAAGGGUUCUUGUAGGUUCCAAGGGGCUCCUCAAAAGGUUCUUGGAGGUUCCUCAAGGGGUUCCUCAAGGGGUUCUCAGAGGUUCCUCAAAAGGUUCCUCAAGGGGUUCUCAGAGGUUCCUCAAAGGGUUCUUGGAGGUUCCGAGGGGUUCCUCAAGAGGUUCCUCAAGGGGUUCUCAGAGGUUCCUCAAGAGGUUCUUGGAGGUUCCAUGAGGGGUUCCUCAAGGGGUUCUCAAAAGGUUCCUCAAAGGGUUCUCAGAGGUUCCUCAGGGGUCCUUUAAGGGGUUCCUUGAGAGGUUCCUCAAGGGGUUCCAAGAGGUUCCUCAAGGGAUUCCUUGAGAGGUUCCUUGAGAGGUUCUCAGAGGUUCCUCAAGGGGUUUCUGGGGGUUCCUCAAGGGGUUCCUCAAGGGGUUCCUCAAGAGGUUCUCAGAGGCUCCUCAAGAUGUUCCUCAAGAGGUUUCUGGGGGUUCCUCCCGGGGUUCCUCCCUCGGCGCCGGUGGGGCGGUCGGUGCGUCAUCGUCGUUGUCGUCGGUGGUGGUGGUGGAGCCGUUCCCGGAGGGGUUGAAGGCCGCGAUGGACCCUUUGUCCAAAAACAAAGCCGAGAAAUAGAGAAAUAUAUAUAUAAAAGAUAUAUGAGAAAUUUAGUGACUUCUUCUGGAGAAGCUGUGGUGGUCCUUCUCCUCCUCCCUCAUCUUUGCCCCCUUUUUUGUUGGACCUUCUCCGAAGCACCACCAGAAGAUGCCCCAAAAAGCGGCGCUUUGUCCUCCUCCGCUUUGGACGUUUCUCCUCAGCGGUCACCGCAGGAGACGUUUCUGAUCUUCUCCACCGGUGGAGCUCUCCAAAGGACCUCCUCGACGGUCGUUUCGCCCUCGGAAUGAAGGUGGAGAGAUGGUUUCUUUUGGUCUUCAGACGCUUGUGGAGAUGUCCCACUCUUUCCUUGGGCUUCUGAGGAGCUCUGAGGAGCUCUGAGGUCCACUCUGUUGUUACCGUUGUGCCUUUCUAACGCCGUCACGCGGAGCCCGACGGGACUUGGGACAUCCCACCGCCCUCCUUGGACCUCCUGGAGGUGGUGGAUACGUGGUUAUGGGGUUGAGUUGGGUCUUCGGUUGUCUCCACGGGACCGAAUCUCAACGGUGUUUCUUUCUUGAAGACCAUUGGUGGUGUCCUCCAAAGGCGACGUCGCACUUCGUUCGCCACUGAGAAGGUGACGGCUCCGACCGAGGUGGACCUGGAGCUCCUCCUCUUCCGAGAAGACCUCAAUCCACCCUCUUUCCCACAAGGGGUGGACUUCAUGGUGGAAAGAGGUAUCUCAGCGACCUUCUGGCCCUCAAAUCAGCCCUUCUCAGCCCUCUGAGGACAACUCCUUCUCCAGGAGGUCCUUCCAAGCUCUCCACGGUGAUUCCAUGGUCCCAUCCGCUCUCCUGAGGUCCUUCUCGAUGGUCUCAUCCACUCUCCUGAGGUUCUCGAUGGUCCCAUCUGCUCUCCUGAGGUCCUUCUCGAUGGUCUCAUCCGCUCUCCUGAGGUUCUCAGUGGUCCCAUCCACUCUCCUGAGGUCCUCAGUGGUCCCAUCUGCUCUCCUGAGGUCCUUCUCGAUGGUUUCAUCCGCUCUCCUGAGGUCCUCAAUGGUCUCAUCUGCUCUCCUGAGGUCCUCAAUGGUCCCAUCCACUCUCCUGAGGUCCUCAAUGGUCCCAUCUGCUCUCCUGAGGUCCUCCUCAAUGGUCUCAUCCGCUCUCCUGAGGUCCUCAAUGGUCCCAUCCGCUCUCCUGAGGUCCUUCUCGAUGGUCGGAGAGGGACAGUUUGUCCAUUAUGACACAACGAGCGCUGAAGGUGGUGGUUCUCCACCUGAAGGUGGUGGUUCUCCACCUGAAGGUGGUGGUUCUCCACCUGAAGGUGGUGGAUCUUCAGCCUCUUUGAGGUCCAAGUCCUCCUCCUCGUUUCUACUCAACGCUGGAAUCCACCCUUUGAGGGUCUCCGACCUCAUCCGAGCGGUGCUCAACCCCACCAGAAGGUCUGAAGAACCCAAAGCUCUGAAGAUCUCACUUUGAAGGUUCUUUCCUCCAAAGCUCUGAAGACCAAAACGUGGUUGAAAGUUCUCCAAACUCAUCGCUACGUCCCAGAGCGGUGGAAACUGAGGAGAAACCGUGGUCCUUGGGAUGGUCCAGCGCUGAAGAAACCACCGUUGAGGUGAAGAAGACCUCAGGUUGCGAUGGUGAUGGUCCUGGAGGUGGAGGAGACGCUCUCCAAGAGGCGCUGAGGAGCUCUGGGUUGGUUUCUCCUCUUGAGAAGGUCUUAAAGGCUUUGUGGAGGCGGUUCUUGGGUGGUGGAGACAUCUCAGCUGCUUCCUCCGAAGGGGUUGAGACAAUCCCUGAAGGUUCUUCCAAGAAAAAAAAGAAGGAAAUGGGAAUUUCGGAGCCAUUUUUGGACCUUCUCCACCUCAAAGGCGCUGCGUGGAGAACAUCUCCGAGAUGGAAAGAAGGGCUCCAUCCUCGCCGUGACGUGAGUUGAGGCUUCCGAGGGUUUUCCGCUGCGUCGGAAUGAGAGAUCCUUUGGGAUUGGAGGUUCUGGAGAAGGAGUUGAGAAGGUGUCUUCUGCGCCGGUGGGAGAGGAACCGCCCGCGUCCCCUCGUGGCCUUCACGACGUCCCCCGAAAGGCGCCCACUCAGUGCCUCCCUUUUGGUUGUGCUUUGCUUUUUGCUACAAAAAAUACUACAAAAAAAACCCGGAAUCCCCCGAAAAGGGGUUAAAAA
This is a long non-coding RNA of Cuculus canorus (common cuckoo), 3237 nucleotides long. RefSeq lists it as uncharacterized. Lineage: Eukaryota; Metazoa; Chordata; Aves; Cuculiformes; Cuculidae. The record is from RefSeq and is a predicted model, not a curated record. The transcript is spliced from 4 exons.